Molecule: ribosomal RNA, 1520 nt
Filed under: Klebsiella pneumoniae
Lineage: Bacteria; Pseudomonadati; Pseudomonadota; Gammaproteobacteria; Enterobacterales; Enterobacteriaceae
Also listed under: 1 other name
Description: bacterial SSU rRNA
Rfam family: Bacterial small subunit ribosomal RNA
Source: RNAcentral
AGAGUUUGAUCAUGGCUCAGAUUGAACGCUGGCGGCAGGCCUAACACAUGCAAGUCGAGCGGUAGCACAGAGAGCUUGCUCUCGGGUGACGAGCGGCGGACGGGUGAGUAAUGUCUGGGAAACUGCCUGAUGGAGGGGGAUAACUACUGGAAACGGUAGCUAAUACCGCAUAACGUCGCAAGACCAAAGUGGGGGACCUUCGGGCCUCAUGCCAUCAGAUGUGCCCAGAUGGGAUUAGCUGGUAGGUGGGGUAACGGCUCACCUAGGCGACGAUCCCUAGCUGGUCUGAGAGGAUGACCAGCCACACUGGAACUGAGACACGGUCCAGACUCCUACGGGAGGCAGCAGUGGGGAAUAUUGCACAAUGGGCGCAAGCCUGAUGCAGCCAUGCCGCGUGUGUGAAGAAGGCCUUCGGGUUGUAAAGCACUUUCAGCGGGGAGGAAGGCGAUAAGGUUAAUAACCUUGUCGAUUGACGUUACCCGCAGAAGAAGCACCGGCUAACUCCGUGCCAGCAGCCGCGGUAAUACGGAGGGUGCAAGCGUUAAUCGGAAUUACUGGGCGUAAAGCGCACGCAGGCGGUCUGUCAAGUCGGAUGUGAAAUCCCCGGGCUCAACCUGGGAACUGCAUUCGAAACUGGCAGGCUAGAGUCUUGUAGAGGGGGGUAGAAUUCCAGGUGUAGCGGUGAAAUGCGUAGAGAUCUGGAGGAAUACCGGUGGCGAAGGCGGCCCCCUGGACAAAGACUGACGCUCAGGUGCGAAAGCGUGGGGAGCAAACAGGAUUAGAUACCCUGGUAGUCCACGCUGUAAACGAUGUCGAUUUGGAGGUUGUGCCCUUGAGGCGUGGCUUCCGGAGCUAACGCGUUAAAUCGACCGCCUGGGGAGUACGGCCGCAAGGUUAAAACUCAAAUGAAUUGACGGGGGCCCGCACAAGCGGUGGAGCAUGUGGUUUAAUUCGAUGCAACGCGAAGAACCUUACCUGGUCUUGACAUCCACAGAACUUUCCAGAGAUGGAUUGGUGCCUUCGGGAACUGUGAGACAGGUGCUGCAUGGCUGUCGUCAGCUCGUGUUGUGAAAUGUUGGGUUAAGUCCCGCAACGAGCGCAACCCUUAUCCUUUGUUGCCAGCGGUUAGGCCGGGAACUCAAAGGAGACUGCCAGUGAUAAACUGGAGGAAGGUGGGGAUGACGUCAAGUCAUCAUGGCCCUUACGACCAGGGCUACACACGUGCUACAAUGGCAUAUACAAAGAGAAGCGACCUCGCGAGAGCAAGCGGACCUCAUAAAGUAUGUCGUAGUCCGGAUUGGAGUCUGCAACUCGACUCCAUGAAGUCGGAAUCGCUAGUAAUCGUAGAUCAGAAUGCUACGGUGAAUACGUUCCCGGGCCUUGUACACACCGCCCGUCACACCAUGGGAGUGGGUUGCAAAAGAAGUAGGUAGCUUAACCUUCGGGAGGGCGCUUACCACUUUGUGAUUCAUGACUGGGGUGAAGUCGUAACAAGGUAACCGUAGGGGAACCUGCGGUUG